Molecule: long non-coding RNA, 575 nt
Filed under: Salmo salar (Atlantic salmon)
Lineage: Eukaryota; Metazoa; Chordata; Actinopteri; Salmoniformes; Salmonidae
Description: lncRNA (ENSSSAG00000097504.1)
Source: RNAcentral
GCAGGGUAAAGGGUGAUGAAGGUACUCAGGGCAGGGUAAAGGGUGAUGAAGGUACUCAGGGCAGGGUAGAGGUUGAUUAAGGUACUCAGGGCAGGGUAGAGUGUGAUAAAGGUACUCAGAUUAAGGUACUCAGAGCAGGGUAGAGUAGGGUUAAGGUACUCAGAGCAGGGUAGAGGGGGAUUAAGGUACUCAGGGCAAGGUGGAGGAUGAUUAUGGUACUCAGAGCAGGGUAGCGGGGGAUUAAGGUACUCAGAUUAAACGCUUGGUUAAUCUGCAUUCCUUUUGAGACACCUGGCAGCUAACUGUACCUGCAGAGGAGAGAGAGAAAGAUAAAGAGAGGGAGAGGUAGAAAGGGAAGAGAGAGAGAGGGAAGAGGGAUAGAGGGAGAGAGGGGAGAGAGAGGAAGAGAGAGAGGGAGAGAGAAAGAAGAGCGAGAGGGAGGGAGAGAGAGGGAGAGAGAGGGAGAGAGGGAGGGGUAGAGAGCUGAUAAUCCUUAAAGCUUCAGGUAAUGAUGUGGUGAUGAGUUCAUGGAACAGCUGUGGUUCAAGAUUAGUGUGUGUGUGUGUGUGUGUGUG